This 1026-nucleotide ribosomal RNA is filed under the name Triticum aestivum (bread wheat). RNAcentral describes it as "partial small subunit ribosomal RNA". The record is from RNAcentral. Lineage: Eukaryota; Viridiplantae; Streptophyta; Magnoliopsida; Poales; Poaceae.
AUGGAUUUGGGCGACAUUGUGCUCUCCUGGUUGACCCAGGACAUCAUCAACGAUGACCUCUACAAAGGUCGAUGCUUCCAAGCUACUCCUUGCAGCUUCCUCUCACUUGACCACUAUCUCAAAUCGUAUCGCGCACCUCUGAUUGAAGAAAUAAGGUCAAAUCUAUGCUCACGCCUUGAACUCAUCGUAGAAGGACCCACUUCGAAAAUACUUUCUAUGGAGGCAACACAGAAGCCAGAAGUGUACUAUAUGGAUGUGGACUUUGGGGAUUAUGGGGCGGUUUAUUCCGUGGAGGCUCAUACUGUAAGGUAUGGCGAUGUGUUUAUUUUGUCUAGCGUGAAAUCUGAAGCUACAGAGGACUUCAGCUGCUAUGGAGUGACAUAUUACUUGGCAAUGGUUACUGACAUUUGCAUGGAUGAUAAUGAUGAAUGUCAGAAGCAUUUCAAAAUCAAGGUUGCAAAAGAUAUUGGCUUGGAAGAAGACUUACAAAAGCUCAGAUAUGCAAUAUUUCUCGGUAAUAUCAUAAAAAACAUGUGGAUAUGGAAAGCACUGAGCUUUGACAAGCACAUGAAUAACAAUUUCACACUGAUCGAGUCUCUCUUAGCCCCCACAAAUUCGGGUGGUGAUGUCUGUGGUAUCUGUGCUAAACAUGGUGGAGAACAUUUGGCUUGUUUUACAGAGCAACUAUUAGCGAUGAAUCGUAAUAAAUUGCAAAUGGAUGUUAUUGAAUCUGUCAUCUCAAUUGUAAGAUGUAGGCAUCUGAACCUCAUGAAGCUUAUACAAGGUAUACCAGGUACUGAAAAGACCCACACUGUUAGUGCUUUACUGUGGGCUUUGGCUUCUAUGAAAUGCAUAACUCUAACACGUGCUCCCACAAAUGUUGUUGUAAUUGGGGUUUGCACUCAUUUCCUGCAGAACUUCAAGGAUUUCAACAAAACAAUUGAUGACAAUGGUCUACCCUUUUCUCUUGGAGAUGUCUUGCUAUUUGGGAACAAGUAUAAGAUUAACAUAACCGGAGAUCUUUAG